Molecule: ribosomal RNA, 563 nt
Filed under: uncultured crenarchaeote
Lineage: Archaea; Thermoproteati; Thermoproteota
Description: bacterial SSU rRNA
Rfam family: Archaeal small subunit ribosomal RNA
Source: RNAcentral
UCGCGAAACCUUUGCAAUAAGCGAAAGCUUGACAGGGCUAUCCCGAGUGCCAUCCGCUGAGGAAGGCUUUUACCCAGUCUAGAACGCUGGGGGGAAUAAGGAGAGGGCAAGUCUGGUGUCAGCCGCCGCGGUAAUACCAGCUCUCCGAGUGGUGUGGAUGUUUAUUGGGCCUAAAGCAUCCGUAGCUGGCUAGGUAAGUCCCUUGUUAAAUCCACCGAAUUAAUCGUUGGAUCGCGGGGGAUACUGCUUGGCUAGGGGACGAGAGAGGCAGACGGUAUUUUCGGGGUAGGGGUGAAAUCCUAUAAUCCCGGGAAGACCACCAGUGGCGAAGGCUGUCUGCUAGAACGCGCCCGACGGUGAGGGAUGAAAGCUGGGGGAGCGAACCGGAUUAGAUACCCGGGUAGUCCCAGCUGUAAACGAUGCAGACUAGGUGUUUGAACGGCCACGUGCCGUUCUAGUGCCGCAGGGAAGCUGUUAAGUCUGCCGCCUGGGGAGUACGAUCGCAAGAUUGAAACUUAAAGGAAUUGGCGGGGGAGCACCACAAGGGGUGAAGCUUGCGGUUU